Long non-coding RNA from Corvus hawaiiensis (hawaiian crow), 7593 nucleotides. RefSeq lists it as uncharacterized. NCBI's taxonomy places the organism in Eukaryota, Metazoa, Chordata, Aves, Passeriformes, Corvidae. The transcript has 4 exons. The record is from RefSeq and is a predicted model, not a curated record.
GCCGGGAAUUCCUCCGCGCCGGCCCGGCCGGAUCUCGCCGAGGGGCGGGGAUGCCGCUGGAGCGCCAGCGGCGCGGCCGAAGGAAGAAAGGAAGGAUUGCUCCCGGACCGCGGCCGCGCCGCCGCGCCGCGGGGCUCUCCCGGCCAGCGGGCCCAGAGCAGAGAGGGGACUAUUUCCCGGCGGCGGCGGCGGCGCAGGGAUCCCGGCGGGCGGGGUGUCGCGGCCGCCGGUGGUGUCGCGGCGAGGGGCGGGAGGAGCCGCGGCCGCGCAGGGGCCGAGCGGGGACAGGAGGCGCGGGCCGGGGGCCACGGAGCCGGGCUGAGGGCGGCCACCUCGGGGCCGGGCCCCAGCAGGGAAAGCCGAUGCUCUCACAUCGGUGAAAUCACACGGUGUGAGAACCCGUGCUGGUUUUUCUUUCUAAAUUCAGAAAGUGAUCUAUUUAUUUACCUGUUUAGUGCAAUUCCGGUGCGUUACCAAGUGCUGCGGUGUUACCAUCUAGUUUAUAUCAAAAUAUUCACGUUUUAUGAGGUAAAAAAGGGCUGACACGGGCUCCAGACCGAGGCUGAGUUACAAUGUGGCAACGGUCUUGCUACUUAAUCUGGAGAUGCAUUAUUAGCUGGUUUGUUUCUAUGCAAAUACAUUUAAUGUUGUUUUGGCUACUUUUUAAUAUGUGUUAAAGAUAUUUUUAAUGAUGCAGUGAUAACCUGUCAGUCUGAUUUCCAGAUGUAGGAGAAAAAAGUAUAAACUUAGAUUGCUAUCUAUUGAACUAAAAUCUCAUGUUCCAGCUAAGAGUGUCUGACACCAUCCAUUACCCUUUGUCACAUCUCAGCAAUUCUUCCCAAACUCUGCCCUGGCGGUUGUCUACCCCAAGUUGGCUGGUUGAUUGAUUGAUUGAUUGAUUGAAGAGUGCUAGCAGGAAUACUGCAGCUGCUUUCUCACGUGCUGUCUUCCAGUUAUAGGUUUCAAGAGUUAUCUGCUUUCCAGAUCUGAAUGGCAAUCUUCUGCAUCAGGACAGUUGGUAACUUACUCUUGGGAGACAGAGAAAGUCAAGUUGCUGUUCCUUUGAGAAGUCUAAGGACUUCAGCAGAUGCAGACAUUUUUCCUAUUUAAAUGCCUGUCACCAGCUGAUCAUAUCAUGCCCUUCUGAAACCUUUGCCGAAAUUUGAGACUCAGACUGUGUUGUACAGUGUUAGGGGUACAUUGAAUGGAGUGGGGAAUGUUAGGACUUUGCACUCUGUUAAAAAUAGUAUUUUGAAAUAAAUUAUUUGUUGCACUGUAGGAAGGCUUAUUCAGGAACAAGCAUAAUGGGUUAGUGCUAACAUCCAUCUUGUCCAGUACUUUGAUCCUGACAGGAACUCAUUUUGGGGUCAGUGCCAUAAUCUCCAUUCUGUGUUGGCAAGAAGCCUAUUUUUGGUCAUCUAAAGAUUAGCUGAAACUCUGAAGCAUAAAGCUUGGUGUCUUUAAAAAAAAUCUGAUUCCUAUGGAUGUGUUGUGAAGACUUCUGUUCCACCUGUACAUAUUCAUAGACUCAUUUCAGUGACUUUCUACAGGUGAAUUUUACUGACACUGUAUGAUUCUAUUUUUGUCCUUUAAAAGAAAUUUUUUUCUCUUUUUUUUGACAGGAGGGACAGGUGUUCCUGAUCAGCCCUUUCACUAUCAUUGUUUCAUUUUUCUACAGUUAAUCUAAAUACCUGGUUCUCUGUCGCUGUGCUAACUUGAAGAGGUGACCAUUUGCUGUGAGUUAAUGAUGUUUAUGCUCUCUCCUAUGGGUCUCUCCUCCUUUUCCUCCUAUGAAGCAACAUCACAAAAGGAACAUACAGUGCAAGAUUUUCUCCUUGCAGUUAAUAAUGCCAAGCACUCACUGUGUUGAGAAAAAUGUUCUUUUAAACAUGCUAGAAUAAAAAAGAUGCUCUGCUAUGUUACCAUAUUGUGUGCCUAAUCCUGAAAAAGAAAUAACUCUGCCCCAACCAGCUUACAGUUUGUUUGGGAUCCAGCCAGUGUAUGUAACUGACACCAGGAAAUCGAAGGGAGAAUAAAGGAAACAUGAGAAAUAUGUUAACAUGGACAAAUUAUGUAAAAUUACUGUAACCCUCUAAUGCCCAUCCAUUUAAGAUACAGUGUUAUUGCAGGAGUAAUCUUGAGGGACCUGAAAUAACCAAAAGUAGUGAUGUCAAGAUCUUUACUUGAGGAAGAUGAUGUAUUUUUGCAUGUGGAAAAAAGGUGUAAAGAGUGGUGUAGUAACCAGUAGUGGCAGCUUUUUUUGCUGUAUGUUUUAGGCCUUGGACUGUCAGAACAUUUUAUGCUGUAGCAUUCUGGCACCUUCUGCUAAAUUUUGUCCUCCAUAGCUUAUCCUACCUGGCUUCUUGUGGUUUAAGGGCGGGGGCACGGGGGCAGGUAUAAAGUGGAAAAUAACACUGACUGUCUGUGACCAAAAGAAGGUCCCUGAGGUAUUACAAGAGUUUGUAUUUCAGUUUUCUGUCUUGUUGUUUCUGUAGAAAAGUAUGCACUGUUUCUUAGAAGUCCCUGUGUUACAGAGCUGUGCUGGAUUUUGGAGGUCAGUGUGGCUGGACUGUGUAGGUAUCAAAAUAUUACUGCUAUUCAAGUCUCAUAUCUUUUCUGGCUGUAACUACUGUUUGGUUCAUGUAAUGAUCCACAGUUCAGAUAUACAGUUUAGGAAAGAUCAGCAAGAGGUUCCAUUUUGAGAAUACCUCUAAGACAGAGUUGUAAGCAACAAAAAUAUAAUUGUUAGUUAAUUUUUUCUCAUAUAAAUAAGAUUUAUUUUUCCACAUGGAAAUUGUUAUUAUAACACCAUUUCACUGGAAUUUUCUGGGAGUACAAUGGUUCUCUAAAGUGUAUCUUGUUAAAAAAACCCAGCAGCUCAACAACAAAUAAAUCAAUAUAGCUGUAUCUGGCUCUUCAGGUUGUAUUAUGUGAUGUUUCAAGGAAUUAUGUCCUUUCUUCUCCUGUCUGAGGCAGAUAUAACUACAUAAAUAUAAAAUGAAAUCUGCAAUUUUGCAUUUGAAGGUACGGAUCAGUACAUACAGGCUCAGUCUACAGUAGCAAAAUUGUCCUUGGAAAGAAGGACACAAAAUUUCUGCUGGAGUUUUUGUUAAACUGAGAGGAAAAACAAAAGGUCAUGCCUACACAACUUUAGAGUGAAAAUGUUGGAUACCACUAGGACCUUGUUAUUGUUAGUUUCCACACAGUUUUUAGAAAAAUACCCACUCAACUUCACUCUCAGCCAGUGCUUUAAAUUCUCUUAUGCUGGAGAUCAUGUUUUUACUUGCUCUUAUAUAGUUCACUGUCUUCCAUCUAAAUUACAUCCGUUUUAGUGAAGGUGGCUUUUAUCCUUAGUUAAAUUAAACAAAUUAAAAUUUGAAAUACGUUAUAGUCUGGGAGCCUGCUAUGAGGUCCAUUUGUGGACCAUUGUCUCCAUUUCAGACACAUGUCAUUCUGAAAAACCAAAGAGAUGACCCAGGUUUCAGAGUUACACUGUGAGCCCACUGCCAGAGAUCCCUCCCAAUGGAUACUGCAGAACUGGCAAGGGCAUUUUGGAUAGAUGAUGUUCUGCUGAUGUUUCAUGUGUAAAUAUCCACUUCUAACAAGCGUGUUCCCAGCCCAUCCACUCAUUCCCUAACUUCGCCUUCCCAUGUGCUACGUGCUGUAUUUUGGUUAGGUAGCUGCAGAUAGGUCUGCAUAUUCUAAAAGAAUGUUCUGAUACUUUUCUGUACUGUGUGACUUUACAUAGAAGUUUUUCUAUUCAUUAACUGGUAGCAGUCUUUGCUUCACAGUAAUAGAUGGAAGCAAAAAAAAAGAAUCCUCUUCUACUUGUAUUGUAAAAAAAUAACCAAAAUUAGAAAAAGCAAACCUCCCCCCCAGCAAGUAUGCAAGUGUUUAUGAAAAUCAAUAGUUCCUGUGUUACUAGUUAUGAAUAUGAGUUCAGUGCUGAUAAAGACCAUGGAAAAAACUGCUUUUAAGAUAUGAUCAAAUUUAGAAAAUUAGUAAUUUUUUCUCAGUGCAAUUGCUGGAGAUAACAAUAAGACACACUAGAAGUUAGAAUGAGAAAGUUUGUUAUCACUUUAUUUAAAUUUUAGAUGAAAAAAAUGGCAGUAAUAAGCUGUGUUAAAAAAACAACCAACCAACCAAUCAACCUCCCUCCCUCCUUCCUUCCUUCCCUCCCUCCUUCCCAGAUUUAUGCUCCUGAGUUGUUUGGCUAUUUUUGCUUAUCCCUCCCACUGUCAAAGAAUGCAACAAAGUUUUGUCUACACAGAAAGCAAAUACUGCAAGUAAUGCAGCCUAUUGACAUAAGUAAGUGGGAAAUAUGUGAUGAAAUGCUAUGCUCAGGAAAACGAUGAAAUAAAGUGAGAAGAGUUUAGUUUGCUUUCUUUCUUCUGUUUCCAGGGCUUUUUUUUUUUUUUUGGAGGAGAGGUUGAUUUCUCGCUGUUGAUAAACCUUCUGUAACUGAAAAAAGUACAAGGAACUGGUAUGGUAAAGUUUUAAGCUAAGAAACUUUAUAGACUAUGUGACUUCAAAACAGGAAUUCUGAGCACAUAUAAGGCAAAACCUAUAAAAUACAAGCUCUGUGCAAGAAACUUAUUCACUGUGUUGAGGAUAGUUUUAUGCUGGGUACUCUUUAAGGUGUGUUUCUUGGAGAGACUGCUUGGAAAGAGGCACUCGCAGUGCUUUACCACUGUCAGCCUCAUAGGUAGGGUGCUUCUGUCCAGAAAACAAACUAUGAGGCUUUUAAGAUUGUUGGGCUUUUUAAAUUUACCUAAGAGUUUAGGUUAUGUUGUAAGGUGGGGACUCUGACUCAGAAUUAUUUGGGAAUUCUUUGUAUUGUUAAAUUCUUGGAAACUGCUGUAUAGUAGAAUACAAAGAAAAAACGAAAAAGAGGACCUUAUAGCUAGCAUAAACAUAUUCCUAACUAGGAGUUGUCUGAAUCUGGGUCUAAACUAGCUAAUUUCCAGUUUUAUUCUUUGGACAGCAUAUAAUGAAAGCGUAGAAUUAAAAGUCGCUUUUAAAAAUACUGUUAUAUUAGAGACUACUAGACAAGAGUUGGGAGAUAAAGAUGCAAUUAGUAACAGCACAGUAAUUCAGCCUGCAGAGCUACUUGCUACUUAACAAAAAACAAUCAUCCAGAAAGAUCUAUGGGUUCCUAGGCUUAUUGUGGACAGGGCAUGCAAAUAAAAUUAUUUGUUACAAUUACUUAGCAGGACCCUGCACUUUGUUAGAAUUCAAGCAAACUGCAGCCAAACUGCUUAAUUUUGCCUUGUUUUAUAUUGACCCAGACACAGGAAAAAUGAGGCCAGUGAAGUACACAAUGAAAGUGUUAAUAAAAAAUCCCACCAGACCUGGAAACAAGGAAAUUAUGGUUAUUUUUCUCUCCCUUCUCUGAGUAACAAUGCCAGCGGGUCACCACCUCUGCGCUGAGACUGGGAGAGAUUGUGGACAUGUCAGGACAGGGUUGUGCCAAGAGGAUUGAGUAGACCCAGCUGCAGUGAGGGGAAGGGUGAUAGUAACUGUUGUCUCAAUCAGGAUGUGUGAGGACCUUUUUUGUUUUGGGUUCUGGGGGUUUUGUUUUUUUCCCUCCCUAAAUCUGGAAAUCCAGGAUGCUUCCUCCUGUUGAAAUAAAUGGAGAUGGAUAUGCUGUCCAAAUGGGGAAAGUUGUUCUAUGCCCUUUUGAGGUGUUCUUUAAGAAGGAACAGUUCCUCCCUGUUAGCCCACACUCCAAAUGUUAGAUGUAUAAAUAAAAACUGGCUGUGUACUCCCUCAUCAGUUUUAUUUUGAGAUUUUUUUUUCUUCUUUUCAGAACAUUGGAUUUUUUUAGUUAUUUUUCCAUAUUUGUUACCCCUGAAAAGUCUGGAGGAAAUUCAGUAAUUCCAAAACUAGAAAAGUGUCCAUAUUUAUUUUUUGACAAAUUUGUUAUGGCUGUUUGGUAAUACUAACAUACCUCAAUCCCUAGGUGCAAGUGGAUAUUUCUUUGAGUUUCUUUUAUUUCAGACCCCAGAAAUAACUGGACCUUCAGGAACCACAGGCUGAACUUUACCAGUGUCUCAAGACAGUGUAGAAAUAAAUUGAACGGUUUCAGUAAGAUGCACAGGUAUCUUCUCAAAUUCUUUCCUUUUGAUGGACACAUGUGCUUUUUAAACUACAGACCUGGGUUACUUUUUAGAACUAACUUUCGUUUCUCAUUGCUCUUCCCACAAAGUACCAAAGAAGGUUGAUCACAAGCAACUAAGUAUUCCUCGAUGUUAUUACUUGAUGGGAGGCCUUAGCCUGCCCUCCUUUGGGGAAAAUUUUUUACAAAGAGGAAAAGGAAGUGUGCAAAACAGUGAAGAAAUCAAAAAGACCUUAAAUAAAACCACUUUUCAAUAUAAAUUAGCUAAAUUCUGAGCCUAUGAGAUGUCCCUGACUACCACAAUUCUUUACCCAUUUGAUGCUGUGACAGUGAAAUGACAAGUCCUGGGUACUGGCAGAGUCUAACAGCAGAAGCCUUGUGCAACUUUGGGAGAACUGGCUUUUUCCAGCAAGAGCUGACAGAGGAGCAUUACAGCAACUUUUCAUGCAUUUGAAAACUUGCAAAAGGGUUGGUGAUUUUUGUGACUGCAGAAGGAAGAGGUUUUACUGGCUUCAAAGACCAGAUGACUUAGUGACAUUUUAGGAAAAGCUUUCUCACAAGAUUUGUUAGACGUUGGAACAGAUUGCCAAGAGACUAUGGCUGACUAAGGGAAAGUUUUUUAAAGUGAGUUACCUUAGUAUCUCUCAAGAGUGAACCAUGUGACAAAGUGAAAGAAGUGAGCUCUGUCCAGGUCUGGUGUUUUUAUUUCAUAGAUGCUGUGGGGUUAAAUGACCUUCCCAUAAUUAAUUCCUGGGCCUGGUGUUUUCAAGGUGUUUGCAUGUAUCAACACUGGAAGUUGACAGCCAUGUUAGUAAAUGGGUUGAUGUAAAUACAGGCUGCUGCCAAAAAGGGAGGUGUCUUAACUGCCCUUUUCAGGCUGGUUUUCCAUUCAGUGGGGUGACAAAUAUGCACAGCUUAGAUCAAGGCAAAUCUGUCCCUUUUGCAGCAGCAGCUGCUCAGUGUGACCAUGGAACAGGUGCUUAAGGCUGGGUAAUCAAGGGAUGGUCACUUACUGGGGUGAUUGAUACAUGUCCUGACCUAAGUGCCUUGUUCAGGAAGGAACAACAGGCUGAAAGAGCAGCAUAAUGCAAGACAGCUGAAUGUCCUCUAUAGCAAGCUAUCACCUUUUAUCUUAGCCUUAAAUGGAAGUGGUAGGUACUUAGUUCUGUCCAGUAUGCUUUAGCAAACAUGCAAAUAAAGCAAUUCCAGUUUUCAACUUUCAAAAAAAAUGAUAGCUGGAGAGAGGUAACCCACUAAUAAUGAAGUAAGACAGCAUACAUGUCCUGCUUCAAGUGGGGCUUUGCCUCCAGCUCUGUAUCUUUAGCAAAAUUUACCAGUGAUGGUGAAAAUUAGUAUAGAAUUCAAAAUAAUCACAGUAAAACAUUAUCACAGUAUCCCUCUGCUGUAGUGGUGAAAAAUUCAUACUGCCAGCAGGAAUCAUAUUUUGCAGGGGGGAGAAAGUCUAAAGGAGGUAG